GACGAACGCUGGCGGCGUGCUUAACACAUGCCAGUCGAACGGAAAGGCCCUGCUUUUGUGGGGUGCUCGAGUGGCGAACGGGUGAGUAACACGUGAGUAACCUGCCCUUGACUUUGGGAUAACUUCAGGAAACUGGGGCUAAUACCGGAUAGGAGCUCCUGCUGCAUGGUGGGGGUUGGAAAGUUUCGGCGGUAGGGGAUGGACUCGCGGCUUAUCAGCUUGUUGGUGGGGUAGUGGCUUACCAAGGCUUUGACGGGUAGCCGGCCUGGGAGGUUGACCGGCCACAUUGGGACUGAGAUACGGACCAGACUCCUACGGGAGGCAGCAGUGGGGAAUAUUGCACAGUGGGCGGAAGCCUGAUGCAGCAACGCCGCGUGCGGGAUGACGGCCUUCGGGUUGUAAACCGCUUUCGCCUGUGACGAAGCGUGAGUGACGGUAAUGGGUAAAGAAGCACCGGCUAACUACGUG
RNAcentral lists this ribosomal RNA (468 nucleotides) under uncultured bacterium. RNAcentral's name for it is "partial 16S ribosomal RNA". It matches the Rfam family "Bacterial small subunit ribosomal RNA", at positions 28 to 507 of the family's 1533-position model. The record is from RNAcentral.